This is a long non-coding RNA of Vespula vulgaris, 1614 nucleotides long. RefSeq lists it as uncharacterized. The record is from RefSeq and is a predicted model, not a curated record. NCBI's taxonomy places the organism in Eukaryota, Metazoa, Arthropoda, Insecta, Hymenoptera, Vespidae. The transcript has 3 exons.
GACCGCGAGAGGAAGGAGAGAGAGUCGUCGAGAGAGAGAGCACGUUGCUCACCACCGUCCGGCGCUGCUUUGCCCGUAGUCGUUGUCCAGGUCCUCUCUCGAGGCGUGUGCGAUAUCCCCCGGCGGCAGCCGUUGGUGGAGAGGGCAGAUAGUUGGAUAGAUACAUCGAUAUUUAUAGUUUCUUAAAUCGACCAGGACGUGGAGAUUAUCAUGGUGGUAGUGGUUGUAUGGUGAUGAUGAUGACGGUAGAAGGAUAGUUAAGCCAUACGAAAUAGAGAUCUUAAGAUCCAUCGGAUCCCUCUGGAUCUUCAACUUGCUCCGCCUUAUUGCGCAACCUCUUGGGCUGAUCUCGGGCACACCGGCAGUCCUGACACAGUUACCUACCUGAUCUGGGCGUUACGGUAGGAUAACAGGAUGAAGAAGAAGAAGAAGAAGAAGAAGAAGAAGUACAACAAGAAGAACAAGAGGAACUAGAAGAACGGGAACGUGAAAACGAAAUAGAAGAAAAAGAAGAAGAAGAGGAAGAAGAUCUUGAUGAUGAAAAGAAAAAGAAAAAAAUAAAUCGAGGAGCUUGAACGAUUCUUCGACUUCAUUUUUUUAAUUUUCUUUAUACUUUUUCACUUCUCUUCAUUUUUUUUUAUCUUCCAACAUCGAUAAGAACAGAACGAUAUAUCGUACGCUGACAAUUUCAUAGUAAGAGAUUUUUAACAGAUUUCAAGAAAAUGGCGGAAACGAUAUAUAUACGUAUAAUAUAUACAGACAAUUGGAUGUUUCCUAUAGAAUUAAAAACAACGACAAAUCGUUGCACAAUUGUUGAAUCGUUCUGGUUGAACCGGAUGAAAGACAGACAACGACGAUAACAACGACGACGAUGGAUCAACUUCUCGUUGGGUGUCACUUCAGGGUCGUCGAUCGUGAUAUUUGAGUGCUCAUAUAGGCGGUAUCGGAAUUCUUACGUCGACGAGGACGAAACACUCUUUCUCUCUCUCUCUCUCUCUCUCUCUCCUUCUUAUGCAUUCUAUUCCGUACGAUGACGCUUUUAACAAAGUUUCGAACACGUACGCGUUAGUUGCAUUCGUGUUACAUACAUACGUGCAUACAUAUGUACAUUAUACAUGUAUACGUAUGGAUGGCGUUAUGUUAUAUGUAUAUAAUACGUGCCAUCAUCAUCUCAAGAACCCAUCAUUAGACGCCUACGCGAAUGGAAGAAGAACGUAGAACAGGACAGGAUGAGAUGAUGUCCUAGUCGCGACAAAAGGCUUGACAGCAAAGAACGAUACGACAUCGAGCAAUCGAGUCCCAGUGGGAACGGGCUUGACAAUGGGGAACACCGGAAGUCUCGUUUGCGGCCACGUUGUAAACGCAACCUCAAGUACAUAUAACUUAACCAGUGGGAGGAGUUCUCUGUAGUCUCGAGUUAACUCUAAGCACAAAAAGAGAGAGAAAGAGAGAUAGAGAGAUGUGCGACUGCUAAGACUGCAUACAUACAUACAUAUACAUAUACAUAUAUAUAUAUACAUACAUGUAUGCAUAAUACAUGGACUUGGUAAACUGUCAACUAGGAUGAAGAUCAGCGAGAGAGGCUCAUCGUUACACCUCUUCACAUUUUGCACU